AAACAGACAUUCGAGUUCCAAGACCGCCUAGGGAGGAUGGCGGCGAGCGGCUGCCAGCUGGACCCCAGUAAUCAUGGAAGGAAUUCUUUAUAAGUGGACCAAUUACUGGAACGGAUGGCAACCUAGAUGGUUUGUAUUGGACAAGGGUGUGUUGGCAUAUUACAAGUCACAGGAGGAAGUUAACCAGGGCAGUAAAGGAUCAGUAAAGCUUUCAGCAUGUGAAAUCUUGGUUCAUCCUACUGACACACUGAGAAUUGACAUUGUCAUUCCGUAUGAGCAGCGGUUUUACCUGAAGGCACCCUCAUCCCACGAGCGCCAUGCUUGGCUGGUGGCUCUUGGCAGUGCCAAAGCAGGAAUUCCUCCAGCAAUACCUCAGCCUAAAGUUGAAAAAGAGCCAGAGGCAGAUGUUGUGAAAGCAAAGAAGUCUGAGCUUCGUCUGACAUGUGACCUUCUAAUGAAACAAGUGUACAAUGUCAAGACUGCAGCAAACAACCCAGAUGGACCUGAUCUAGAGAAAUUAGAUGAAUCCACAACACUGCUGUCAGCAACCUGUGAUACCUUCAUCCAGACUCUGGAGGAGUGUAUGAAGCUGUCCAACACUUCUCCAACCCCACAGCUCUCUGGAGAGACCCUGAUUGCCCCAUCACUCUCCUAAAGGAAAGAAAAACCUCCAGCAGCUCCACACCAAUUGUAACAAGACAAAAUUCUACUGAAAGGAGGACUGAAUAGUUGAUCAUGUGAGUGCCACCUUCAGGUAGAGUAUGAUCUAUUUGUAUCGCUAUAAAGUUUUUGCGUUGCAACUUAGUACUGAUUAAAGAAAGAUAUUUAUUUGUUACUUAAUACAAAAUUAACGAGAUUAAUGUAUGAUUACACAUAGUAUGCUCUAAUGAUAAUGAUUAAGAUGUAAUGACUUAAUAAUCUGUCUCUAAAAAAUGUCUUAAUUACAGUAUCUAUGUAUUUACAAGAUAUGAAUCAAAUGAGACUAAUGUUUGUAGUGGUGAAGUCUUGAACUAGUCUUGGAAUACUUAGGGAUGGUUAAAUGUAUGUUGGCGUUUGUCUUGUGUAAUACCAUAGAAAGUAUCUGUGCAGUAUUUCAUAUGUAUGUAGUUUCAAAAUGUAUAUUUGUUUGAAUAUGUUUUAUAAAUCUUUAACAUUUAUAUAUUAAACCAUACAAUACUGUAUAACUGUAUAUGAAAGCAGGGAUAUGUAUAUUUUCUUCCAAGAGUUGUUACAAUAAAUUUAAGUAAGAAUGAGUGUGCAGAUAAGAAAUGAUACACAUGAAAUUUCCCAGAAAGAUCUGCCAAGCUGAUGUAUUUAUUUGCAACUCAGUUAACUACCAUUCCUGGGCUAGGAAGUGUUAAUCAUUGUUCUUGAUAUUACUCUAUUGAAAUGAAAAAUAACAUCUAUUUUUAACCUGUGUUUUGAAGCUUUAAAUGGUGUAAAGUAUUUGUUAUAUGCUUAAAUGUGAUAAUUUCUGUUUCAUGAAAAUUUAAUGUAAAUCUUUGCAUUCUGUACAUAAUAUAAUAUAUAUAUAUAUAUAUUUGCAUGA
This 1549-nucleotide unclassified non-coding RNA is filed under the name Portunus trituberculatus (swimming crab). Its description in RNAcentral is "pleckstrin homology domain-containing family A member 3-like, transcript variant X2". Lineage: Eukaryota; Metazoa; Arthropoda; Malacostraca; Decapoda; Portunidae. The record is from RNAcentral.